Molecule: ribosomal RNA, 301 nt
Filed under: uncultured bacterium
Lineage: Bacteria
Description: partial 16S ribosomal RNA
Rfam family: Bacterial small subunit ribosomal RNA
Source: RNAcentral
CAGCAGCCGCGGUAAUACGAAGGGGGCUAGCGUUGUUCGGAAUUACUGGGCGUAAAGCGCACGUAGGCGGAUAUUUAAGUCAGGGGUGAAAUCCCAGAGCUCAACUCUGGAACUGCCUUCGAUACUGGGUAUCUUGAGUAUGGAAGAGGUGAGUGGAAUUCCGAGUGUAGAGGUGAAAUUCGUAGAUAUUCGGAGGAACACCAGUGGCGAAGGCGGCUCACUGGUCCAUUACUGACGCUGAGGUGCGAAAGCGUGGGGAGCAAACAGGAUUAGAUACCCCUGUAGUCCCUGUCUCUUAUAC